Molecule: long non-coding RNA, 697 nt
Filed under: Rosa chinensis
Lineage: Eukaryota; Viridiplantae; Streptophyta; Magnoliopsida; Rosales; Rosaceae
Description: sRNA RchiOBHm_Chr4g0397851
Source: RNAcentral
AUGGGUAGUUUAGUGGUGGCUACUGCAACACUUGGCCUUGAAAGGGGGUGAGAAAAGAAGUCGGAAACCAAGCAAGAGUAGUGAACAAAACUUUGCCUCAAAUUACAAGGGGUGAACACAAUCUCAUCCAAAGAUAGAGGUAGACACACUUCUCAGCCUAAAACAUCAUCUUCGUUACAGUUGAAUAGGCUCAAGUUCCUUGCACUGGGGAUAGAGAAGCAGGGUGCCAUUGCCAUCCAUAGGGUUAAAGGGAAGAGUAAGCAGUUGGGAGUUGGUGGGACAGCGAUAUUAUCAUUCAGAAGCUUAGUGAGAAGGAAUCUAGACAAUCUUUUUCUAAGGGUGUGAGGCUUCAAUUGUGCACUGGGUAUAUAGAUGGUCUAUAAUCUAUAUGUACUCAGUUAAAUGCUACAUGGUCUAGCGUUUUCAACUGCAUGUGGAUAUAGAUGGUCUAUAAUCUAUAUGUACUCAGUUAAAUGCUACAUGGUCUAGAGUUUUCAACUGCACGUGGAAAGGAGCCGCCUUCACGACCAUGUAAGUCGCCGCCCCAAGAUCAAAACCCCUAGAAGAAAUGAGCAGAUGACCUCAAUCAGGGUUCAAAAGAUCUAAGGAUCAAAGGUUGCAGAAUGAGUACACGACACACCCUCCAAGCUCGAAAUAGAUACAAAUGGUCAGGAAAUAUUUAUUAAUUUUGUCUUAG